GACGAACGCUGGCGGCGUGCCUAACACAUGCAAGUCGAACGGAACUGUUUUGAAAGAUUUCUUCGGAAUGAAUUUGAUUUAGUUUAGUGGCGGACGGGUGAGUAACGCGUGAGUAACCUGCCUUCAAGAGGGGAAUAACAUUCUGAAAAGAAUGCUAAUACCGCAUGACAUAUCGGAACCACAUGGUUUUGAUAUCAAAGAUUUUAUCGCUUGAAGAUGGACUCGCGUCCGAUUAGUUAGUUGGUGAGGUAACGGCUCACCAAGACCGCGAUCGGUAGCCGGACUGAGAGGUUGGACGGCCACAUUGGGACUGAGACACGGCCCAGACUCCUACGGGAGGCAGCAGGGGGGGAUAUUGCGCAAUGGGGGCAACACUGACGCAGCAACGCCGCGUGAAGGAGGAAGGUUUUCGGAUUGUAAACUUCUUUUAUUAAGGACGAAAAAUGACGGUACUUAAUGAAUAAGCUCCGGCUAACUACGUG
This 482-nucleotide ribosomal RNA is filed under the name uncultured bacterium. RNAcentral's name for it is "partial 16S ribosomal RNA". It matches the Rfam family "Bacterial small subunit ribosomal RNA", at positions 28 to 507 of the family's 1533-position model. The record is from RNAcentral.